Molecule: ribosomal RNA, 497 nt
Filed under: uncultured bacterium
Lineage: Bacteria
Description: partial 16S ribosomal RNA
Rfam family: Bacterial small subunit ribosomal RNA
Source: RNAcentral
GAUGAACGCUGGCGGCGUGCCUAAUACAUGCAAGUCGAGCGGACGGACGAGAAGCUUGCUUCUCUGAUGUUAGCGGCGGACGGGUGAGUAACACGUGGAUAACCUACCUAUAAGACUGGGAUAACUUCGGGAAACCGGAGCUAAUACCGGAUGAUAUUUUGAACCGCAUGGUUCAAAAGUGAAAGACGGUCUUGCUGUCACUUAUAGAUGGAUCCGCGCUGCAUUAGCUAGUUGGUAAGGUAACGGCUUACCAAGGCAACGAUGCAUAGCCGACCUGAGAGGCUGAUCGGCCGCACUGGAACUGAGACACGGUCCAGACUCCUACGGGAGGCAGCAGUAGGGAAUCGUCCGCAAUGGGCGAAAGCCUGACGGAGCAACGCCGCGUGAGUGAUGAAGGUCUUCGGAUCGUGAAACUCUGUUAUUAGGGAAGAACAUAUGUGUAAGUAACUGUGCACAUCUUGACGGUACCUAAUCAGAAAGCCACGGCUAACUACGUG